This 468-nucleotide ribosomal RNA is filed under the name uncultured bacterium. RNAcentral describes it as "partial 16S ribosomal RNA". It matches the Rfam family "Bacterial small subunit ribosomal RNA", at positions 28 to 507 of the family's 1533-position model. The record is from RNAcentral.
GACGAACGCUGGCGGCGUGCUUAACACAUGCAAGUCGAACGGAAAGGCCCUGCUUUUGUGGGGUGCUCGAGUGGCGAACGGGUGAGUAACACGUGAGUAACCUGCCCUUGACUUUGGGAUAACUUCAGGAAACUGGGGCUAAUACCGGAUAGGAGCUCCUGCUGCAUGGUGGGGGUUGGAACGUUUCGGCGGUUGGGGAUGGACUCGCGGCUUAUCAGCUUGUUGGUGGGGUAGUGGCUUACCAAGGCUUUGACGGGUAGCCGGCCUGAGAGGGUGACCGGCCACAUUGGGACUGAGAUACGGCCCAGACUCCUACGGGAGGCAGAAGUGGGGAAUAUUGCACAAUGGGCGGAGGCCUGAUGCAGCAACGCCGCGUGCGGGAUGACGGCCUUCGGGUUGUAAACCGCUUUCGCCUGUGACGAAGCGUGAGUGACGGUAAUGGGUAAAGAAGCACCGGCUAACUACGUG